Molecule: regulatory RNA element, 65 nt
Organism: Ruminococcus sp. CAG:382
Lineage: Bacteria; Bacillati; Bacillota; Clostridia; Eubacteriales; Oscillospiraceae
Rfam family: S10-Clostridia ribosomal protein leader
Source: Rfam
GGUGUGCGAUGAAACCGGAGAUUGCUGCGUAAGCGCAGGUAACUUCGGCGGAGUAUGUCCGACAA